This 244-nucleotide long non-coding RNA is filed under the name Setaria italica (foxtail millet). RNAcentral describes it as "long non-coding RNA (SITA_LNC006861)". The record is from RNAcentral. Lineage: Eukaryota; Viridiplantae; Streptophyta; Magnoliopsida; Poales; Poaceae.
UCGUCACGAGUGAAAUCGGCGCCAGGAGUAGAGGAAAUGGGAAAGUACAGUUGGAAAUCGGCCGAAUGGCGCUACAGUUCGAGAUCGGUUGGUUGGCGCUACAGUCCAAGAUCGGCCAAUGCUACAGUACGGGAUCGGCCGAUGACUUCUGCCUCGCUUAAACCUUGGGGUUCGGAUCGGACACGCCAGGUUCCCGAUCGGGUACCUUUUGCCGAUGAGGAAUCGGCCGAUUAGGAGGUUGGAA